CCCUUUGAUGUUCUGGGCUGCACGCGCGCUACACGGAUGCGCUCAACGAGUUUACGACCUUGCCUGGAAAGGUUGGGUAAUCUUCUUAAAACGCAUCGUGAUGGGGAUAGAUUAUUGCAACUAUUAAGAUUCAACGAGGAGUUCCUAGUAAGCGCGAGUCAUCAGCUCGCAUUGAUUACGUCCCUGCCCUUUGUACACACCGCCCGUCGCACCUACCGAUUGAAUGGUUCGGUGAAGAUCUCGGACUUCGAUAUUUAUUCUUUAUUGAGUUUAUAUUGUGGGAAGUUAUCUAAACCUCAUCAUUUAGAGGAAGGUGAAGUCGUAACA
Molecule: ribosomal RNA, 327 nt
Filed under: uncultured eukaryote
Lineage: Eukaryota
Description: partial 18S ribosomal RNA
Rfam family: Eukaryotic small subunit ribosomal RNA
Source: RNAcentral